AUCAACAGUCGUCAGUCUUGUUUGAAACAGAUAACAGAGUUUCGAAAAUUUGCAUAAUAUGUACAUGACUAUUAUUUUAUAAACCACUAUAAUUUUAAUUCGUGUUUUUACUGUUGGUUAUGGUAUUAGUUAUAAAAUGAAGUAGCAAUAAUGUAGCAUACCUAAUAAAAAAAUCUUUAUUAUAACAAGAAAGAAACUGACUUAUAUGUUGAUAACAAUAGCAUUAGGCUACUACUGCCUAUAUCGUACCUAUAUUUUGAGUUUUCUGUGGAGAACGAAUGGCUCAAGUUAAUGAAGCUAAUGAAAUAUCAAAAACCUACCAAAAAUAAAAAUGCCAUUUAUGUCUGCCUGUCACCACAUAGAAAGCUUUCCGAAAGACACAACUCCUUGGUGAACCUAUUGUACUGCAUUAUAAAAGCGGAAGAAGGAGGUGAAAUCAACUUGCCGACUGUUUAGCUGUGGUAAAAGCUCUCAAAUCCAUGAAUCCAGGAACCUAUUCAAUUCUCAAGAACAUCUCUGUCAUAAUGUGGUCGGACCCGUUCACCAAGGAAGGUCGCAGUAAUCAAAGCAUUCAUUUUACUCCUAUUAUCAAGUAAUUGAAAAGCUUUGAGGAUCGAAAUAAUUUCUUGAAAUAUGUUAACUAUUUCAUGAUUCAAUGUGAUUUCUUGACUAUUGACAUUUUAAAUUAUGGGACAUCAUGCAAUUUUAGGCAUUUGCCUGAUGCAAAUGGUUGAGCAUUGCCCAUAUAUUGUGAUGAAGAAAAAUUUGUUUCAAAUCACUUCAAUGAAUAUUAAGAUUCAAGCAUUCUGAUUAUACAGAUUCAAGCAUGGGAAGCGGUAAUUUUUGUCUCAAGUUACAUAUUAUACAUAAUUUAAGAUUUUUUAUUCUUUCCUGUUUCAUUAUUAUGUAAGUUCUGCUGAAAUUAACACGUGAGGUUUAUUGGCUAAAAUUACUUCCCACUAUUUUACAUUAAUUUCUUCCAAUUUAUCGAAUUUCAAAGUUUUUUAGCUUCCUCAACAACCUGUCAACUCAAAUUUUACUUGAAUUUUUAUUGCAAUCUCUAGGCUUUUAAAUUUCUAAUAAUGUAUACAAAUAGGUUUGAAUGAUAAAUCAUUCUAUUCAAAAAUUACAUAUCACUAUACUGAGAUUUGCUUUGCUUUUACUUGCUUUGCUUUUUCAAACUGGUUGUACUGACAUUAGGAAAAAUUCAAUAAUAAUUUUUUUUUCAGUCAAACACAAAUCUUAAAAAUGCGUAGAACAAAUUAUUAUCUAAAAAUCAAAUUUUAUUAAUUCCGAACAAAAGCUCAUAUAUAUUAAUCAAAUAAAAUAACCAACACAAUGUUCUCCCAUGAAAAUCAUACCUAAUGCGAUAGUAACAACUCAGAGAAUACAAAUAAAAGGAACUUAAACAAAUUACAAACAUCUUAUCUCAAAUAAAUUAAUCAUUUCCAUCAAAUAAGGUAUUUUGUCCUGCCUUACCAGUUUGAACCAUGAGCCUAAAAAUAACCUAGUAACUUACAUUGUAAUAUGCCUGUAAUCCCAUACCUGAGCUCCGUGACACAGUACAGCCCUUUCGGAAGCUUUAAACCAUUUACAUUUAGCUGGAAAGUCUACCUUAGCAUUAUUAAAAAUGCCUCUCCAUGCCAAGUUCAACCCCAGAUUCGCCUUCUCAGAUUUAUCCUUCACUUGAGCUUCAAAAUUCAGUUUUGAUGCCAGCACUACUAAUACCCAAUGAAAAUAAUAUUGUUACUUAUACUAUUUUAUAAAAAUAGCUCAUUCAGCAAUAAAUACAAACUUAUUUUAUUAAAUGAUUUCUUAAUGUUUUGCAGGACAAAUUCUGACAUUUUACAACAUUUUACAGGCACAUAGAAGACUGGCUUAUGAUGGCGAAAGACUUUUGAAGGCGGUUACCUUGAUUGGGAUCAUAUCUAUUAAACCUUCGAAUCCUGCACUCAAAAGUAAAUGUGAUACCAUUCAAAUGGAAUAAGAUUGAUUUGAAUUGGAAUUUGUUAUUCCUGUAUCAUAGUGCAUUUUUCUUCUAGUUACCCUACGUAUUGUACAUUAUUGUAAUAAAGCACUAGCUGUUCCAUAGUAGAAGUCUUUGAAAUAAAAGGUUUCUUUUUCAAGUUAGUGUCACAUUUUAUAUUUUUUAUCCAUUGUAUACGGUAUAUCCAUUUAGUUUUAGAACAUUGUAUUAACACUACUAUUGUUUCAAAAAGAGUCUGAAUGUAAUUUAGAAGAUGAUUCUAUCGUAUGAUUCUUCAACGAAUCCAUCAUAACUUACAAAAAACUACAGCAUUUGUUCUAUUUACUUGUCAAUAAUCGUAGUUGCAGAAGCAUUUGUAUUUCCAAAACCAAAUUUGGUAUUUAAUUAUGAAGUAUGAGUAAAGACAUAUUCGCCUACAA
Molecule: RNA transcript, 2406 nt
Organism: Nilaparvata lugens (brown planthopper)
Lineage: Eukaryota; Metazoa; Arthropoda; Insecta; Hemiptera; Delphacidae
Exons: 4
Source: RefSeq, a predicted model, not a curated record